RNAcentral lists this ribosomal RNA (261 nucleotides) under uncultured bacterium. RNAcentral describes it as "partial 16S ribosomal RNA". It matches the Rfam family "Bacterial small subunit ribosomal RNA", at positions 333 to 611 of the family's 1533-position model. The record is from RNAcentral.
AUAGCCCUACGGGGCGCAGCAGUGGGGAAUAUUGCACAAUGGGGGAAACCCUGAUGCAGCGACGCCGCGUGAGUGAAGAAGUAUCUCGGUACGUAAAGCUCUAUCAGCAGGGAAGAAAAUGACGGUACCUGACUAAGAAGCCCCGGCUAACUACGUGCCAGCAGCCGCGGUAAUACGUAGGGGGCAAGCGUUAUCCGGAUUUACUGGGUGUAAAGGGAGCGAAGACGGAAGCACAAGUCUGGAGUGAAAUCCCGGGGCUUA